RNAcentral lists this ribosomal RNA (40 nucleotides) under Lepuropetalon spathulatum. RNAcentral's name for it is "partial 26S ribosomal RNA". The record is from RNAcentral. Lineage: Eukaryota; Viridiplantae; Streptophyta; Magnoliopsida; Celastrales; Celastraceae.
UUGCGACCCCAGGUCAGGCGGGAACACCUGCUGAGUUUAA